This 436-nucleotide ribosomal RNA is filed under the name uncultured bacterium. RNAcentral describes it as "bacterial SSU rRNA". It matches the Rfam family "Bacterial small subunit ribosomal RNA", at positions 43 to 524 of the family's 1533-position model. The record is from RNAcentral.
CAGGCCUAACACAUGCAAGUCGAACGCUCGUCUUCGGACGGGAGUGGCAGACGGGUGAGUAACGCGUGGGAACGUACCCUCCGGUUCGGGAUAACCCAGGGAAACUUGGGCUAAUACCGGAUACGUGCUAUGGCAGAAAGGCUUGCCGCCGAAGGAGUGGCCCGCGUUCGAUUAGCUUGAUGGCGGGGUAACGGCCCACCAUGGCGACGAUCGAUAGCUGGUCUGAGAGGAUGGCCAGCCACAUUGGGACUGAGACACGGCCCAAACUCCUACGGGAGGCAGCAGUGGGAAUAUUGGACAAUGGGCGCAAGCCUGAUCCAGCCAUGCCGCGUGAGUGAUGACGGCCUUAGGGUUGUAAAGCUCUUUCGCACGCGACGAUAAUGACGGUAGCGUGAGAAGAAGCCCCGGCUAACUUCGUGCCAGCAGCCGCGGUAAU